Neofelis nebulosa (Clouded leopard) is the source of this 461-nucleotide long non-coding RNA. RefSeq lists it as uncharacterized. NCBI's taxonomy places the organism in Eukaryota, Metazoa, Chordata, Mammalia, Carnivora, Felidae. The record is from RefSeq and is a predicted model, not a curated record. The transcript is spliced from 2 exons.
GAGCUCCUGGGCACCUCUGUUCUCUUGGCUUCUGUCCCAGGUGCUGCUGAACGGGAGCGAGGAGGGCAGCGUCCUUGCCCGUCUGCAGUGCGGGGACAGUGGUCUCACCCGCGUCCCGAGGAGGCCAUCAGACCACGUUCCGUCAGCGCGUCAGCCCCACACACUGUGUGCCCCAAUCCCGCAGCGUCUCCUCGCGGGGCACCUGCACCGCCUGGGACCCUGCCAUUUCCCUUGCAAAUCCCCCGAGGGAGCAGCACCCCACGGAGGAAGCCUCCCUGGACCCAGAACAUUCCAGCGCUCGCAGCAGAAGCUCAGGAAUACCGAAUGGGAGGAAGACCCAGUGGGGAACUAAGGGACCUCGCUUCAGAGGCACCAAUGGAACCGGAAGCGGAGAAGCCAGUCGGAAAUGAGCAGGGUGUGGAGUGAGGUCAUCAGAAAAGAUUCAACCUUGAAAAUGGUCA